GCUCCUUGUUUAGUUCAGUUCAGUCUGCCUGUGCCUUUGUGAGAUAUUGUUCAUUUUGACUCUACUAAGCCUUUUCCUAGUUAUAGCCUGCAGUCCUAGUUUUGAUUCACCUGCCUGUUUGCCUACCUGUGUAUGACCAUUGCCUGCCUGUGACCAGGAUUCCUGCCUUCUGUGAAGGCGAAAUAAACACCUGCCACGCUACUUCCAAAACUUGGUGGAUUUGUUCAGCAGUGUCGUAGGGACCCCCUACCAUAUCAGGAGCGGAAGGUGGAGGCAGUAUGUGGCCAGGAACCAGUCCCACUUCAGAUGGAGCCCCCUGACUAACAGACAGGUUGAUGCAGAUGGAGUCCCCUGACUAACAGACAGGUUGAUACAGAUGGAGUCCCCUGACUAACAGUCAGGUUGAUACAGAUGGAGCCCCCUGACUAACAGACAGGUUGAUACAGAUGGAGCCCCCUGACUAACAGACAGGUUGAUACAGAUGUCUGAACCAGAUGAGACCUUUCACUCAGCAUUACAAUUAUACAAGACACAGUAUUACUUUUUAUCGUCAUUUUAUUUUAUUGAAUGGUGGGGAACGAUGACCACUCUGUAUAUUUUUCAAACACCAUACAAAGGGAUGACAACUAACAUGUACCACCAGACAAAAUGCUGAUUAGUACAGUAUCUGUGUCGGCUAUGAAUGACAAGAUGAAAGAUGUGUAAUAUUUGCACAUUGUUAUAUUAGCAGAACACUGCUUCUACUGUAUUAUGUGAAGGAUGUGAAGUAUUAUGUGAAGGUUUAUUCUACAUGGAACUGUUACACGUUAAAGUUAUGUUUAGAAUAUCUACAUAAGUUCAGCAAUUGUAUUCUUCUCAUAUUACUAUGUAGGCUACUGACCAAUUAAAAGCUUCCUCCUGGAAGAAGCUUGGCCAGUACAUAUGAGAAGAGUGCCAUCUUCCUGUAUCUAACAUCUGCCUGUAGCUACACCACCCCUCCGGCCACCUGACUGCAUCUGUCCAUAACCUUUAAUAGAUUACAUAGGUGGAAGAGAAUUCAUCACCCACUGGAGACUUGAAGACAGAACCUCACCCAGAGAGCUCUGCAUGUCAGUCUGGUUAGACAGACAGAACCUCACCCAGAGAGCUGUGCAUGUCAGUGUGGUUAGACAGACAGAACCUCACCCAGAGAGCUGUGCAUGUCAGUGUGGUUAGACAGACAGAACCUCACCCAGAGAGCUGUGCAUGUCAGUCUGGUUAGACAGCCAAAUCCUUAGAAAUAGAACAGAAUGCCAUACUAGUUCUGGGACAGUUGAAGUUGUACCAAAGAUGUUUAUGCUCCAUGUUCUAUCUGUGGUUGUACUCUCACACAACUUUUAUGAAUGUACUAGGUGUAUGCAUACUGUCUUUAUAAACAAAUCAAUAUUAUAGCCUAUUUACAACAGAACGUGUUUUGUCUUUGUGACACAAACACACCCGUUAAUUUUUUUAAUAAAUGUGUCUACGCUCAAGCUAGGCAUGUCUGUGUAAUGUCCACAUGUAGGCUACACCUGUAGGGGGUAUUAGUUUUGGGAUGUGUCCCCCGUGAAAGAUC
This is a long non-coding RNA of Oncorhynchus tshawytscha (Chinook salmon), 1573 nucleotides long. The record is from Ensembl. NCBI's taxonomy places the organism in Eukaryota, Metazoa, Chordata, Actinopteri, Salmoniformes, Salmonidae.